Long non-coding RNA from Neltuma alba, 415 nucleotides. RefSeq lists it as uncharacterized. Lineage: Eukaryota; Viridiplantae; Streptophyta; Magnoliopsida; Fabales; Fabaceae. The record is from RefSeq and is a predicted model, not a curated record. The transcript has 2 exons.
GGAAUGGAUGGAGAUUGUACAGAUUAAGCAGGUGAUGGGAGUGCACCAAACAGAAGAAAAGUUGACCAAGUUGGUUAGUAAAAUGGUGGACCAGCAAAAGCACAAAGCUAAUAAGGUGAAGGAUUUCAUAGGGAGAAAGGGAAGGCAUCGGACGGCAAAGGAGUGAGACAUUGGCUCUUGUGCUCUCUAAGCACAUGCUGAGUUAUACUUUACUAUUCAUCAUGGCCAUAGGAUAUUGAUAGGUGUUCGCAGAAUUGAUGGGUUAUAUAUAGGAGCUUGUUUAAUUUGCUUCGCUGCAUAAGAUCUAUUUUAUUUUAAAUUUAGAUCUUAAUAUUAUGCAUGAAUUACGAUAUUUAAAUUUAUUUCUAUACUUAAUUGGCAUGAAUAAAAAAGAGGCAGAACCCUUGAAUGUUGA